GACGAACGCUGGCGGCGUGCCUAAUACAUGCAAGUCGAACGCAGUGGGGACGGGUGAGUAACACGUGGGUAACCUCCCAUCAGAGGGGAUACCACUUGGAAACAGGUGCUAAACCGAUACUGAUGGAUGGACCCGCGGUGCAUUAGCUGGUUGGUGAGGUAACGGCUCACCAAGGCCACGAUGCAUAGCCAACCUGGAGGGGGGAUGGGCAAAACGAGUACGGAGACGCGUCCCAGACUCCUACGGGAGGCAGCAGUAGGGAAUCUUCGGAAAUGGACGAAAGUCGGACCGGGCAACGCCGCGUGAGUGAAGAAGGUUUUCGGAGCGUAAAACUCUGUUGUUAGAGAAACGGUAUCUAACCAGAAAGCCACGGCUAACUACGUGCCAGCAGCCGCGGUAAUUC
This 403-nucleotide ribosomal RNA is filed under the name uncultured bacterium. Its description in RNAcentral is "partial 16S ribosomal RNA". It matches the Rfam family "Bacterial small subunit ribosomal RNA", at positions 28 to 526 of the family's 1533-position model. The record is from RNAcentral.